RNAcentral lists this ribosomal RNA (700 nucleotides) under uncultured bacterium. RNAcentral describes it as "bacterial SSU rRNA". It matches the Rfam family "Bacterial small subunit ribosomal RNA", at positions 56 to 756 of the family's 1533-position model. The record is from RNAcentral.
UGCAAGCCGAGCGGUAUUGUUUCUUCGGAAAUGAGAGAGCGGCGUACGGGUGCGGAACACGUGUGCAACCUGCCUUUAUCUGGGGGAUAGCCUUUCGAAAGGAAGAUUAAUACUCCAUAACAUAUUGAUUGGCAUCAAUUAAUAUUGAAAGCUCCGGCGGAUAGAGAUGGGCACGCGCAAGAUUAGCUAGUUGGUGAGGUAACGGCUCACCAAGGCGAUGAUCUUUAGGGGGCCUGAGAGGGUGAUCCCCCACACUGGUACUGAGACACGGACCAGACUCCUACGGGAGGCAGCAGUGAGGAAUAUUGGUCAAUGGGUGCAAGCCUGAACCAGCCAUCCCGCGUGAAGGACGACUGCCCUAUGGGUUGUAAACUUCUUUUGUAUAGGGAUAAACCUACCCUCGUGAGGGUAGCUGAAGGUACUAUACGAAUAAGCACCGGCUAACUCCGUGCCAGCAGCCGCGGUAAUACGGAGGGUGCAAGCGUUAUCCGGAUUUAUUGGGUUUAAAGGGUCCGUAGGCGGACUUAUAAGUCAGUGGUGAAAGCCUGUCGCUUAACGAUAGAACUGCCAUUGAUACUGUAAGUCUUGAGUAUAUUUGAGGUAGCUGGAAUAAGUAGUGUAGCGGUGAAAUGCAUAGAUAUUACUUAGAACACCAAUUGCGAAGGCAGGUUACCAAGAUGUAACUGACGCUGAGGGACGA